This 467-nucleotide ribosomal RNA is filed under the name uncultured bacterium. RNAcentral describes it as "partial 16S ribosomal RNA". It matches the Rfam family "Bacterial small subunit ribosomal RNA", at positions 28 to 507 of the family's 1533-position model. The record is from RNAcentral.
GACGAACGCUGGCGGCGUGCUUAACACAUGCAAGUCGAACGGAAAGGCUCCAGCUUGCUGGAGUACCCGAGUGGCGAACGGGUGAGUAACACGUGGGUAAUCUGCCCUGCACUCUGGGAUAAGCCUGGGAAACUGGGUCUAAUACUGGAUAUGACCUUUCUCCUUAUGGGGUUUGGUGGAAAGUUUUUCGGUGUAGGAUGAGCCCGCGGCCUAUCAGCUUGUUGGUGGGGUGAUGGCCUACCAAGGCGACGACGGGUAGCCGGCCUGAGAGGGUGAUCGGCCACAUUGGGACUGAGAUACGGCCCAGACUCCUACGGGAGGCAGCAGUGGGGAAUAUUGCACAAUGGGCGGAAGCCUGAUGCAGCGACGCCGCGUGAGGGAUGACGGCCUUCGGGUUGCAAACCUCUUUCAGCAGGGACGAAGCGUAAGUGACGGUACCUGCAGAAGAAGCACCGGCUAACUAUGUG